UACGGAGGAUGCGAGCGUUAUCCGGAUUUAUUGGGUUUAAAGGGUGCGUAGGCGGGUUAUCAAGUCAGCGGUAAAAUCGUGGAGCUCAACUCCAUCCAGCCGUUGAAACUGAUGAUCUUGAGUGGGCGAGAAGUAUGCGGAAUGCGUGGUGUAGCGGUGAAAUGCAUAGAUAUCACGCAGAACCCCCGAUUGCGAAGGCAGCAUACCGGCGCCCGACUGACGCUGAAGCACGAAAGCGUGGGUAUCGAACAGG
Molecule: ribosomal RNA, 253 nt
Filed under: uncultured bacterium
Lineage: Bacteria
Description: partial 16S ribosomal RNA
Rfam family: Bacterial small subunit ribosomal RNA
Source: RNAcentral